RNAcentral lists this small nuclear RNA (107 nucleotides) under Trichobilharzia regenti. Lineage: Eukaryota; Metazoa; Platyhelminthes; Trematoda; Strigeidida; Schistosomatidae. The record is from RNAcentral.
GUACUCGCUUGGGCGGUACAUAUACUAAAAUUGGAAUGGUACAAAGAAGAUUAGCAUGGCCCCUGCACAAGGAUGACACGCAAAAUUGUGAAGCGUCCCAUAUUUUC